Molecule: ribosomal RNA, 1392 nt
Filed under: uncultured bacterium
Lineage: Bacteria
Description: 16S ribosomal RNA
Rfam family: Bacterial small subunit ribosomal RNA
Source: RNAcentral
AGAGUUUGAUCCUGGCUCAGGAUGAACGCUGGCGGCGUGCCUAACACAUGUAAGUCGAACGGAGUUACUUUGACAGAUCCCUUCGGGGUGACGUUGAUUUAACUUAGUGGCGGACGGGUGAGUAACGCGUAGGCAACCUGCCCUCAGCAGAGGGAUAGCCAUUGGAAACGAUGAUUAAAACCUCAUAAUGCUGCAGUAACACAUGUUACAGCAGCCAAAGAUUUAUCGGCUGGGGAUGGGCCUGCGUCUGAUUAACUGGUUGGUGAGGUAACGGCUCACCAAGGUAACGAUCAGUAGCCGACCUGAGAGGGUGAUCGGCCACAUUGGAACUGAGACACGGUCCAAACUUCUACGGAAGGCAGCAGUAAGGAAUCUUGCACAAUGGGGGAAACCCUGAUGCAGCAACGCCGCGUGAACGAUGAAGGCCUUAGGGUUGUAAAGUUCUGAUCUGUGGGAAGAAGAAAGUGACGGUACCACAGGAGAAAGCCCCGGCUAAAUACGUGCCAGCAGCCGCGGUAAUACGUAUGGGGCAAGCGUUAUCCGGAAUUAUUGGGCGUAAAGAGUGCGUAGGUGGUUACCUAAGCGCAAGGUUUAAUCUUGAGGCUCAACCUCAUUCUGCCUUGCGAACUGGGCUACUUGAGUGCUGGAGGGGAAAGCGGAAUUCCCAGUGUAGCGGUGAAAUGCGUAGAUAUUGGGAAGAACACCGGUGGCGAAGGGCGGCUUUCUGGACAGUAACUGACACUGAGGCACGAAAGUGUGGGGAGCAAACAGGAUUAGAUACCCUGGUAGUCCACACUGUAAACGAUGAUUACUAGGUGUGGGAGGUCUGACCCCUUCCGUGCCGCAGUUAACGCAGUAAGUAAUCCACCUGGGGAGUACGACCGCAAGGUUGAAACUCAAAGGAAUUGACGGGGGCCCGCACAAGCAGUGGAGUAUGUGGUUUAAUUCGAAGCAACGCGAAGAACCUUACCAGGGCUUGACAUCCCGUGCAUAGUGUAGAGAUACAUGAAGUCCUUCGGGACACGGAGACAGGUGGUGCAUGGUUGUCGUCAGCUCGUGUCGUGAGAUGUUGGGUUAAGUCCCGCAACGAGCGCAACCCUUAUUGCCAGUUGCCAUCAUUAAGUUGGGCACUCUGGCGAGACUGCCGGUGACAAAUCGGAGGAAGGUGGGGAUGACGUCAAAUCAUCAUGCCCCUUAUGUCCUGGGCUACACACGUACUACAAUGGCUGUUAACAAAGGGAAGCAAAACCGCGAGGUGGAGCAAAUCCCCAAAAACAGUCCCAGUUCAGAUUGCAGGCUGAAACUCGCCUGCAUGAAGUCGGAAUUGCUAGUAAUCGCAGAUCAGCAUAUCGCGGUGAAUACGUUCCCGGGUCUUGCACUCACCGCCCGUCA